Molecule: unclassified non-coding RNA, 344 nt
Filed under: soil metagenome
Description: partial contains 5.8S ribosomal RNA, internal transcribed spacer 2, and large subunit ribosomal RNA
Rfam family: 5.8S ribosomal RNA (bases 5-121)
Source: RNAcentral
GAUGGAAGAACGUAGCGAAAUGCGAUAAGUAAUGUGAAUUGCAGAAUCCAGUGAAUCAUCGAAUCUUUGAACGCACAUUGCGCCCGCCAGCAUUCUGGCGGGCAUGCCUGUUCGAGCGUCAUUUCAACCCUCGACCUCCCUUUGGGGAAGUCGGCGUUGGGGACCGGCAGCACACCGCCGGCCCUGAAAUGGAGUGGCGGCCCGUCCGCGGCGACCUCUGCGUAGUAAUCCAACUCGCACCGGAACCCCGACGCGGCCACGCCGUAAAACACCCAACUUCUGAACGUUGACCUCGAAUCAGGUAGGACUACCCGCUGAACUUAAGCAUAUCAAUAAGCGGAGGA